UACGAAGGGGGCUAGCGUUGUUCGGAAUUACUGGGCGUAAAGGGCGCGUAGGCGGCGUGUCAAGUCAGGCGUGAAAGCCCCGGGCUCAACCUGGGAACCGCGCUUGAGACUGGCAUGCUCGAGUUCGGGAGAGGAUGGUGGAAUUCCCCAGUGUAGAGGUGAAAUUCGUAGAUAUUGGGAAGAACACCGAUGGCGAAGGCAGCCAUCUGGACCGACACUGACGCUGAGGCG
Molecule: ribosomal RNA, 231 nt
Filed under: uncultured bacterium
Lineage: Bacteria
Description: partial 16S ribosomal RNA
Rfam family: Bacterial small subunit ribosomal RNA
Source: RNAcentral